UAAACCUUAGAUUCUGUAUGUGACAGCAAAAUUAGAGUGUAUGAUUGCCUGUGAAGUUGUGGGACGGCAGCUGUGGCAAAUAGGUGCUAGAAUAUUCCUGGAAGGAAUAUUGUAUGUCAGCCAAUAAAUCAUAAGUGGGAGGAUCAGGGGUCUUGCUUGUGCUUCUCUUGCGGAAUCUGUCCUUUCCACAACAUAAUCUCAGAUCAAGAAGACAUGUUAUGGUUGGAUAAUCAUACGAUUCAAAAGUAUUGACUAUUUGCCUGAAGAAGAAUCAAAGAAUUGAAUACAAACAAAGAAAGACAACUGCAAAAUGGAUCAAAGGAAAAUGUCAGAUGAUCCUAUCUAUCAAGGGUUGAUAUACAUGGUGGUUGUCCCUGCCAAAUUAACUUCUCUUGAGCAGAAAUUUUGAUCAGCCAAAUUUUCAACAAAUGAUUUUUUUCUAGGUUAAUAGGUAUUUAUGAAUAGAUACUCGGAUCAUUCUUCAAAUCUCAAAUCUCCUUUAUGUUUAUCCCUGUGCUCCAAGUUCUCUAUCUCAUAAUUGAAAAUGCACCAAAAGUUCUCUCUUAAAUCAUUUGAACCACACAGGUGUUUAGAUACUUUUAUCUUGGGGAUUCAACUCAUGCAAUUACAAGCUUCCAUGAAUUGCAAUAUCAAAUUGGUCUUUUAUCUUUUUAAUUGUUUAAAUGAUUAGCAAAUUGGUCCAUUUUGAAUGAAUUUAUUACUAUUUUAUUUCACACUUUGGUCUCAAUAUACCAAACAAGGAUUGUUCAGUCUGAAUGCAUAUAAUUUAAGUAGAAGAAUGGAAUCAGAAAACCAUGUUGGCAUUGGAUCGGUUAAAGAGAGUUGCAAGUUUUAGGAGUUCAAUUGGCUGUUGGGUAUAUUUUUCAUGAUUGGAUUCACCUUAUAAAUCUUGUACUGUUAAUUAAAUGGAGUUGUUAAUGGUGUCGACAUUUCAUGGACGUGCAUACUGUAUAUUAAAUCCAAUAAUUACAUGAUUUAACCUCUUUUAUAUGACUCUAACGUAACACAUGGCUUCAUCUAACCGAAACCAACUUGUUCGUGACCCAAAUCGUCGAAAAUCGAAUCCGUCAUUCUCGUGUCUUCUUCCCCGCUGAGUGCUGCCGCCGUCUCUCCUCUCUUGUGCUUCUGCGCGCAGGAGCAGACUGCGAGGGAGAGAGACCUGGUCGAAUCUCUGGGCGGAGCUCGUCUUGCACGAGAAGACGACUCAUCUUCUCGAAGAAAACUCGAAGUUUUUUACUGCUGCGACGCUACUUUUUCCGACUAGCCUCAGCUUGGACCCCCCAGUGCUGUUAAGAGAGCACACAUCUCACAUGUUUAUGCGCGGAUGGCGGUGCCGGCGCCGACCCUUCCACGUGUUGGUUCCCGUUGCAGCGCCGCCUGCGAAUCCAACGUCUCCGUCCAAGCAUCUCAAUCACCUCCUCCGCUCCUGCAGAGACGUCCGAUCCCUCCUCCAACUCCACUCCCGCAUCCUGGUCCUCGGGUCCCUCACGGACGACGCCACCUGCAUCCUGCUUCUCAACUCCUACUCCUCCUUCCGCCGAUCGGACGCCGCCCUCGCCGUCUUCAACACCUCUCCCAAUCCGUCCAUGGCCUUGUGGAACUCCAUGAUCCGGUGCUACACUAGGACCGGCGAGCACAAGAAAGCAGUCGAAUUUUACUACCGCCUGCUGCGGCGAGGGCUUGAGCCCGACAAGUACACCUUCACCUUUGCAUCCAAGGCCAGCGCCGGCGCUUUUGACUUGGAAACUGGUGAUAUGAUACGGCAGGAGGUUGCAAGGAGAGGGCUCUCAGGUGACGUCUUCAUUGCCACCGGCCUUGUUGACAUGUAUAGUAAAUUGGGUAUGGUCACGACUGCCCACGAGCUGUUCGAGUCAAUGGCGGAGACGGAUGCAGUUUCAUGGAAUGCCAUGAUCGCGGGUUUCUCCCAGAAUGGCCGUCCUCGAGAAGCUUUGGCUCUUUUUAAGAGGAUGCAGGUGGCCGGUGAAGUCCCCAAUUCGGUCACAUUUCUAAACUUGUUUCCGGCAGUGUGUGAACUCUCUGCUCUUAUUUUGUGCAGGGUUAUUCAUGGUUUCCUCACUAGAAGAUGCAUUCUGUCUAUCGUAUCUAAUGGGUUGAUUGAUACCUACUGCAAAUGUGGGAGCACUGGCAUUGCUCGUAAGAUAUUUGACGGAAUGUCAAGUGGGAAAGAUGAUGUAACUUGGGGAACGAUGAUAUGUGGCUAUGUAUUUAAUGGUUAUUAUGCAGAUGCUCUGGUGCUUUUUGAUGACUUGAAAAGUGAAGAUAUAAAGUUGAACCAGGUAGCGGUGGUGAGUGCCCUCUCUGCUGCAUCUGAGACAGGAGAUCGAGAGAAGGGAGUGAGCAUCCAUAAUUAUGCAACUGAGAAAGGAGUGGAUUCAGAUAUUUCAGUCAAAACAAUGCUCGUCACAAUGUAUGCAAAGUGUGGAGACUUGGAGAAGGCAAAGUCACUGUUUGAUGGGAUAAAAGACAGAGAUGUUGUUGCUUGGUCAGCAAUGAUUUCGGCCUUUGUCCAGGCCAAUCACCCUACAGAUGCAUUAGUUCUUUACCAGGAAAUGCAAAUGGCAGGUCUAAUGCCAAAUCAAGUUACCAUUGUGAGUCUACUUCCAGCUUGUGCAGACUUGUCAGAAUUGAAGUUAGGAAAGAGCAUCCAUUGUUUUGCCCUGAAGUCAAACAUUCACCUGGAUGUUUCGGUGGGGACUGCUCUGGUGGCAAUGUAUGCUCAGUGUGGAUCCUUCACUUCUGCACAUUCUUUGUUUGACAACAUGGAACACAAAGAUAUUGUGACCUGGAAUGCAUUGAUCAAUGGAUAUGCACAAGUUGGCGAGGCAGGAAAAGCUUUGGAGUUUUUUAAUCGACUGCGAUCGGCGGGACACUGCCCAGAUCCUGGUACCAUGGUAGGUGCCCUUCCAUCCUGUGCUCUGUUGAAUGCUCUUGAGAUUGGUGCUUGUCUUCAUGGCCUGGUUAUCAAAAACAGUUUUAAUUCAGAUCUUCAUGUGAAAAAUGCAACCAUUGAUAUGUAUGCCAAGUGUGGGGACCUUCCAUCUGCUGAGUUUUUGUUCUUAGAGACCAAGUCUCAUGAGGAUGUGAUAUCAUGGAAUACCAUGUUUGCAGGAUACAUGAACAAUGGUCGUGCUAACGAAGCUAUAUCUGCCUUUCGCCUGAUGAGAGCUGAGAAUAUGAAGCCUAAUUUAAUUUCUCUAAUCAGCAUAUUACCAGCAGCAGCAUUCCUAGCUGCAUUAAGAGAAGGCUCUGCUCUUCAUUCCUACAUAAUCAAGAUCGGCUUUGUGUCUCAAGUCCUUGUUGGGAACUGUCUAAUUGACAUGUACACAAAAUGUGGAAGGCUUGAUAAUGCCAGAGACUUCUUCAACCAAAUGGAUCAAAAAGAUACAGUAUCGUGGAACGUAAUGCUUGCUGGAUAUGCCAUUCAUGGACUUGGUGAAAGCGCCAUCUCUUUGUUUCUGCAGAUGAAGGAUAGUUACGUCAAGCCAGAUUCUGUGUCCUUUCUUGGUGUACUGUCUGCUUGCAGACAUUCAGGCUUAGUUGCAGAAGGAAAAAAGUUCUUUGAAUCUAUGAUGACAGAACACCAUUUGGAACCAAACGUAGAGCACUAUGCGUGCAUGGUAGAUUUGCUAGGUCGUGCUGGUGAAUUAGGUGAAGCUUGGUCCUUGAUUCAAAGAAUGCCAAUGACUCCUGAUGCUGGUGUAUGGGGAGCGCUAUUGGGUGCUUGUAGAAUGCAUUCUGAUGUAGCAAUGGGGGAAAUUGCACUGGAUCAUUUAGUCAAACUGGAGCCUCAGAAUGUUGCUCAUCAUGUAGUUCUCUCAAAUAUAUAUGCACAGGUUGGAAGAUGGACCGAUGUUAGAAGGAUGAGAUCGGCAAUUAAUCACAUAGGCGUGAAUAAAACUCCUGGUUGCAGUUGGGUUGAUAUUAGGAACACUAUCCAUGCAUUUAGUGUUGGUGAUCAAUCUCACCCACAAUAUGACAAGAUGCGUGAUAUUUGGAACGAUUUGCGUGAGAAAAUGGAGAAGAUGGGUUAUGUUCCUGACACAAGUUCAGUGAUGCAUAAUGUUGAAGAAGAGGAGAAAGAAUCCUUCCUCUCUAGUCACAGUGAAAGGUUAGCCAUAUGCUUUGCUCUUUUAAGCACAGAACCCGGUAUGACUAUCCAGAUUGUAAAGAACCUCCGUGUUUGUGGAGACUGCCACACCGUGUUUAAAUUUGUGUCAGAGAUAGCUAACCGUGAGAUAAUUGUCAGAGACUCCAGCCGUUUCCAUCAUUUCUGUAAUGGCAUAUGCUCAUGCAAAGACUACUGGUGAUUUCAACUCGAAAACAUAACCUGCUCUAUGUAGAUGUCAGGAGAUACCGAUCAAAUCAAUCUCAAAAAGACUGCAGCUUUGAUCAACAAGAGUUGAGAAGUUGGCUGAUAUUUUAGGAACACAGCUAGAUGCUACAUUCUGCUUUCUGUUGCAUCCUUCUCACACCUCGGCCCAAAACAUCACGAAUUUUGCCAUUAUAAAGGAGUACUCGAAGGUGGGAUGGAUGUUGGAUAUAAAGUCUUUAUAAUUGCUCGCAACGGAUGGGUAUCAAGUCCUACAAUAUCAAACUCCAGGAUACAUAUCUCAGUCCCAGAAACAGUGAAGCUGCGGCUAGCAACCUAAAAGGCCAUCCACCCUGGUUAUCACUGAAGAGACAUGCUUCUCAAAGCUGCAGUUUACAUUGUGCAUCAGGGAAUGGCAAACAAAAGAGACGAAUCUCAAUUCAACAGUCGGCAUUUGAGAGCCUAUUCAACAGGGUUGCCAGAAAUCCUAUAAAAUGAAGAUGGGGUUGAAAGCUUUUGAAGAGCCAAUAAUGUUGUCGGGCGAACUAAUGCACGGUUUUACUCUCGCAGCACCGCUAGUUAGGAUUUAUUUGCUAUCAAUUUCUUUCUAAUGUUUCCCAUUUUAAUUUAAUUUUGUUCUUGUUAUAAGUCUGCGGUCAUUCUGUCCAUGGAAUUAGUCUGUUUAUUCAGCUAAAGCUCAUGACAGAGUUUAUAACAGCAAAAUAAUUUUCAUCACUAUAGUCUUUUAAUGGCAAUUUGAUAGAAGCAAUGAUUUGUGGUUCGAAGCUUGUACUUAAAAUCUUUUGUUCAGUACCUGAGUGUUCUUCAUUGCA
Musa acuminata AAA Group (dessert banana) is the source of this 5184-nucleotide RNA transcript. It is a transcript of the gene named fructokinase-like 1, chloroplastic, with no coding region annotated. The record is from RefSeq and is a predicted model, not a curated record. The transcript has 3 exons. NCBI's taxonomy places the organism in Eukaryota, Viridiplantae, Streptophyta, Magnoliopsida, Zingiberales, Musaceae.